CUUGCAACUAGAGAGUUCUUUACUAAUGUACUUCUAUUCUUCAGCAAGGAAUCAUAGGACCCGACACUUUCAUUUGGUACACUCGACCAAUACUGAAAGAGCAUACAUCGAGGAAGAAGUCUCUCAUUCAAGACAACCAGAUCUUUGGACUGAAAUCCUCCCUCAAGAAACUUUCCCUUGUCAAAGCAACAACUCGAAGAAGGUCAAACUCGUCGAAGAAGCAAUAAGCAGCAAGGAGAAGCAGUAGCGCUUGUUCUCUGCUAGAAUUUCUUGGAAGCGUCCCAGUGACCCGCAUGACAAGUCGAAAUCUCGAAGGGAGAGAUGCCUCUCAUUUUGCUCUGUAAGUGUUUGCAUGGCCUAUGCCACAAGCCACUAGAUAAGCGCAGUUAACUGUAGAUGAAUCUUUCAUGAGAUAUGAAAUUUAUAUUUUUAGCGAGGUCUAAGCAUGACCCAUC
Eucalyptus grandis is the source of this 455-nucleotide long non-coding RNA. RefSeq lists it as uncharacterized. The transcript is spliced from 2 exons. The record is from RefSeq and is a predicted model, not a curated record. NCBI's taxonomy places the organism in Eukaryota, Viridiplantae, Streptophyta, Magnoliopsida, Myrtales, Myrtaceae.